CCCUUAGAUGUUCUGGGCCGCACGCGCGCUACACUGAUGCAUUCAACGAGUCUAAAACCUGCUCUGAUAGGGGUGGGUAAUCUUUUGAAUGUGCAUCGUGAUUGGGAUAGAUGAUUGCAAUUUUUCAUCUUCAACGAGGAAUGCCUAGUAAACGCAAGUCAUCAGCUUGCAUUGAUUACGUCCCUGCCCUUUGUACACACCGCCCGUCGCUCCUACCGAUUGAAUGAUCCGAUGAAUAUCAUGGAUUGAGGAUGCAAGUAAGUUCGCCUAUCUUCAUCUUCGAGAAGUGAAGUAAAUCUUAUCAUUUAGAGGAAGGAGAAGUCGUAACA
RNAcentral lists this ribosomal RNA (329 nucleotides) under uncultured eukaryote. RNAcentral's name for it is "partial 18S ribosomal RNA". It matches the Rfam family "Eukaryotic small subunit ribosomal RNA", at positions 1470 to 1796 of the family's 1831-position model. The record is from RNAcentral.